This 279-nucleotide ribosomal RNA is filed under the name uncultured archaeon. RNAcentral describes it as "partial 16S rRNA". It matches the Rfam family "Archaeal small subunit ribosomal RNA", at positions 1047 to 1325 of the family's 1478-position model. The record is from RNAcentral.
GAGACCCACGCCAACAGUUGCCAGCAUGUCCUCCGGGAUGGUGGGGACACUGUUGGGACCGCCUCUGCUAAAGAGGAGGAAGGAAUGGGCAACGGUAGGUCAGCAUGCCCCGAAUUAUCCGGGCUACACGCGGGCUACAAUGGUCAGGACAAUGGGUAUCGACACCGAAAGGUGAAGGCAAUCUCCUAAACCCAUCCUUAGUUCGGAUUGUGGGCUGCAACUCGCCCACAUGAAGCUGGAAUCCGUAGUAAUCGCGUCUCAAAAUGGCGCGGUGAAUAU